Molecule: ribosomal RNA, 253 nt
Filed under: uncultured bacterium
Lineage: Bacteria
Description: partial 16S ribosomal RNA
Rfam family: Bacterial small subunit ribosomal RNA
Source: RNAcentral
UACGUAGGGUGCAAGCGUUGUCCGGAAUUAUUGGGCGUAAAGAGCUCGUAGGCGGUUUGUCGCGUCGGCUGUGAAAACCUGGGGCUCAACCCCGGGCCUGCAGCCGAUACGGGCAAACUAGAAUUCGGUAGGGGAGACUGGAAUUCCUGGUGUAGCGGUGAAAUGCGCAGAUAUCAGGAGGAACACCGGUGGCGAAGGCGGGUCUCUGGGUCGAUAUUGACGCUGAGGAGCGAAAGCGUGGGGAGCAAACAGG